This 1281-nucleotide long non-coding RNA is filed under the name Cricetulus griseus (Chinese hamster). RNAcentral's name for it is "lncRNA (ENSCGRG00000025931.1)". Lineage: Eukaryota; Metazoa; Chordata; Mammalia; Rodentia; Cricetidae. The record is from RNAcentral.
AUGCAGAGAAUGAGUGGAAGUCUCUUUGUAUGGACAUGUAUUUCUACAAUACCCAUGAAUGUUUUCCUUCUGGCCACUGAAGAGGAGGAUUCAUCUUUAUCUUCACUGUCAUCAAAGGAUAAGAUUAAUUAUGCCACAACACUGCUGUUCAGAGCUGCUGUUCUCUUCUGUCUGAACAAAGGCAAUGCAACAUGGACUCCUCACAAAUCACAAGUCACUGAAGAGCUUCAGUCAAUUCAUGGAAAUAACAUGCCAGCCUGCACUUCCUUCCUGAGCCAAGCCACCAAGCCUGUCUCAAUGCUCAGAGACACUGAUGGAGAGACACCUAAUCCAGAAACACCAGUGAGGAAAGGACAAGCAUCAGAGUCAUCCACCUGAGCCAACAGGACCUUAGAAGGGGGUAUAAAGGCAGUCUUAACUUUCUUAAUAAAUGAGUCUACAACAGGCUUUGCUACUGGCUGAAUCCAGGCAUAUGAGUUGUUGGUGCAGCAUCUUCUCACCCCCUCCCUCAAAGUGUGUCCAUGCAGGAUAACCUGAAACAUGAGGAUAUAAAAGAGAAAGUAAAGUCUAAAGGUACUCCAAAGUUUUCAUCUGAGUCAAAAACAAUUUUACCAUUUACUGACAUGAGGAUAAGAGAUAAAAUGCUUAUAUUUUGCAAUGAAGCAGUGAAGUCUGAGAUGCUCAUGAGAUGCCCAGGCAUAAGGACAGAGCAAUUAGAUAUGUGACUCUGGAGUUAAAGGAAAAGUCCUGGAUGGAGAUGGAAACUUUCAUAAUGAUAUAUCAGUAGAUCAUAAGAGUUUGAGUCUUGGGGUUCAGAAACUUUUGUGCUUUUUUGAGACUUUUCAGUCAAUACCAGUGAAAUAGGAAAACACAAAGGCAACAUUGUGAAGCCUAGUGAGAAAAAGGAUUCCUCAGAGAUGAGACCAAUAAACUCUGCUGAAUGUUGUUUACAUUGGUAUGUGAUUGGGGCUGAGAAUGGACCAAUGACAACAUGAAAAUUGCUGUAAAGUUUGAUGAGAGCAUGUUAACUAAAGAGUUCACCCAUAUAUUUGCAAUAAUAAUAAGAAAGAUAAUACCCAAAACAGUCUAUAGAAAGAGUUCUCUGGUGGAGUUUUAUUAGAGAAAUGAGGCAUUGGUUUAAAACAUUUUUUAAAUCUAAUAAAACAAUACUUUUGAAUAUUAGAAACGACUUGUUCAAGGGAGAAAAGAUGUACAUUGGAGACACAGAGUAGGGUUGUGCAGCCUCUAAGAAAGUCAUUAUUAUCUAGGUAAGAAUAGUAG